GAUGAACGCUGGCGGCGUGCCUAAUACAUGCAAGUCGAGCGAACGGACGAGAAGCUUGCUUCUCUGAUGUUAGCGGCGGACGGGUGAGUAACACGUGGAUAACCUACCUAUAAGACUGGGAUAACUUCGGGAAACCGGAGCUAAUACCGGAUAAUAUUUUGAACCGCAUGGUUCAAAAGUGAAAGACGGUCUUGCUGUCACUUAUAGAUGGAUCCGCGCUGCAUUAGCUAGUUGGUAAGGUAACGGCUUACCAAGGCAACGAUGCAUAGCCGACCUGAGAGGGUGAUCAGCCACACUGGAACUGAGACACGGUCCAGACUCCUACGGGAGGCAGCAGUAGGGAAUCUUCCGCAAUGGGCGAAAGCCUGACGGAGCAACGCCGCGUGAGUGGUGAAGGUCUUCGGAUCGUAAAACUCUGUUAUUAGGGAAGAACAUAUGUGUAAGUAACUGUGCACAUCUUGACGGUACCUAAUCAGAAAGCCACGGCUAACUACGUG
Molecule: ribosomal RNA, 497 nt
Filed under: uncultured bacterium
Lineage: Bacteria
Description: partial 16S ribosomal RNA
Rfam family: Bacterial small subunit ribosomal RNA
Source: RNAcentral